This 343-nucleotide ribosomal RNA is filed under the name uncultured bacterium. RNAcentral's name for it is "bacterial SSU rRNA". It matches the Rfam family "Bacterial small subunit ribosomal RNA", at positions 28 to 371 of the family's 1533-position model. The record is from RNAcentral.
GACGAACGCUGGCGGCGUGCUUAACACAUGCAAGUCGAGCGGUAAGGCCCUUUCGGGGGUACACGAGCGGCGAACGGGUGAGUAACACGUGGGUCGACCCGCCCUCAGCUCUGGGAUAAGCCUGGGAAACUGGGUCUAAUACUGGAUAUGACUCCACGGUGCAUGUCGUGGGGUGGAAAGCCUUGUGCGGCUGAGGAUGGGCCCGCGGCCUAUCAGCUUGUUGGUGGGGUGANGGCCUACCAAGGCGACGACGGGUAGCCGGCCUGAGAGGGCGACCGGCCACACUGGGACUGAGACACGGCCCAGACUCCUACGGGAGGCAGCAGUGGGGAAUCUUGCGCAA